This is a long non-coding RNA of Leopardus geoffroyi (Geoffroy's cat), 1379 nucleotides long. RefSeq lists it as uncharacterized. The transcript has 2 exons. The record is from RefSeq and is a predicted model, not a curated record. Lineage: Eukaryota; Metazoa; Chordata; Mammalia; Carnivora; Felidae.
GGUAACCCCGCCCUGGGUGCUCAGCUGCGGGCGGAUCGGAGCCGGAGGCGGAUUUGGAGUCUGGUCCCGCAGUCUGUCUGGUCCCGCCGUCUGUCGGGGCCGCAGUACCUCUGUGCAGACGAAGCUCGUCCCAGCCAAGUCACGGCGCCAUGGGGGCGGAGUAGAAGCUGCUGUCGGUUAAGGAGGCCUUUCAGCUGGCGCAGCAGCCGCACCAGAACCAGGCGAAGUUCGAGGUGGCGCUGAGCCGCACCUACUGCAAGAAGGCAGUUAGAACAUACAGAGAACUCAUGGAGAGAGGAAAGGCCGUGUGAGGACACUGGAAGAAGACACGUACAAGCCAAGAAAAGGGCCCUCAGGAGAACCCGGACCUGCUGACAGUUUGAUCCUCAGAAGUCCAGCCUCCAAAACCAAGAAAAGAAAUUUCUGUUGUUUAAGCCAUCUCGUCUGUAGUACUUUUGUUAUGGCAAUUCUGGCAAACAAAUACAGGUAGAAUUGCUAGAUGGGAGUAUGUCGGUGUGCAGCUUAACUAGUGGUACUCACGUGUUUUUCUGAAGUAAUUGGACCAAUUUGCAAUCCUGUCAGAAUUCUGUUUUUCUUUUUAAGUUUGUUUAUUUUGAGAGAGAGAGAGAGACCACAAGUUGGGGAAAGGCAGAUAGGGAGAGAGAGAGAGAGAGAGAGAGAGAGAGAGAGAGAAUCCCAAGAAGGCUCUGCACUGUCAGCACAGAGCCCAAUGAGGGGCUCAAACUCAAGAACCGUGAGAUCAUGACCUGAGCCGAAAUCGAGUUGGACCCUUAACCGACUGAGCCACUCAGGUGUCCCUCCUCAUUUCUUUUUGUACUAGUAUGUUUUGUUUCCCAUUUUAGUUUCUUUGUCCUAUAAAUAUUAGGUGUAGUUAAUACUAAUUUGAAGAAAAUGAGUUAUGUAACAAAAUAUAAGAAAACUAGAAGGAAGUCACAUUCUUCUACAGCUUAUAUAACUGAACAGAUGCUUUGAAAUCAGUGAUGUGAAAAAAUCUUCUAUAAGCCUGGUUACACUUCACUGAACUAUCUUAGAGUUGCGUCAUCUGUCUGAUAUGUAAAAGUAGCCUGCAGUGGCAGACUCACUGUUUUCUUUUUUAGUAACUCCCAGUUGAACUGAUGGGAAUUUGCAAAAACAAUGGUUGUAGGUAUAUGACAAAUUAAUUCAUCGUUAAGCGCCAUUACCUUGAUUAUUUCCUAACACAAUAGAAAUAUGUAAGCUGAUAGGGAGAACAGAAGGUUAUAUCACUGAAAAGUUUCAUGCAAUGAUCCCUUUGUAAGAAAAAAAAUAUCCCAUGCAAUUUCACUAAUGUGUAAAUACAACAGAGAGAUAAUCCCAAAUAAACACAAUGCAAAUAAAAA